This 242-nucleotide ribosomal RNA is filed under the name Cottus bairdii (mottled sculpin). Its description in RNAcentral is "partial 12S ribosomal RNA". The record is from RNAcentral. Lineage: Eukaryota; Metazoa; Chordata; Actinopteri; Perciformes; Cottidae.
AGAGGCCCAAGUUGACAAACACCGGCGUAAAGCGUGGUUAAGUUAAAAAUCGUACUAAAGCCAAACAUCUUCAAGACUGUUAUACGUAACCGAAGACAGGAAGUUCAACCACGAAAGUCGCUUUAUCUGAUCUGAAUCCACGAAAGCUAAGGAACAAACUGGGAUUAGAUACCCCACUAUGCCUAGCCCUAAACAUCGAUAGUACCACACACCCACUAUCCGCCCGGGUACUACAAGCAAUA